RNAcentral lists this long non-coding RNA (2057 nucleotides) under Bemisia tabaci. RNAcentral's name for it is "lncRNA ENSSWEETPG003356". Lineage: Eukaryota; Metazoa; Arthropoda; Insecta; Hemiptera; Aleyrodidae. The record is from RNAcentral.
AAGUCUUGCUUUUACCUUCACAGCUUUUCUGAGCACCUGAGGAUGAGACCUUGAGUGCAAUUGAUUCUGAAAAAUUAAAAUGAUGCAUUUUAUAAUUAACUAAGGACCAUGCCAAAAUGAUCCAAAAUAUGUAAAAAUACUUUAAGAUGGUUACUAGAAAAUGUUUGCAAUUUUAGUUAAUAUUCAAAGGUUCCAAAGGACCCUCAAAUUCCUUACAAUAAAACCUCUAGCAAAACUCAGUCUUUAAAAAUUUGCUUUUUUACCAAUGGAGUAUGUUUUGGUAUGAGAAACUACUAUUUUUAGCACAUCUGUGAAAGCACUACCUGCAUAUAAAAACUAAUAACACUUGCGUUUUUUCUAAAAUUAGCUGGAAAUUAUAGUUCCUUAUCUCAAAACAUGGUCAAGGUUGCCCUCAUUGAAAAUAAAUUUAUUGCGAUUUCCUCUUGUGUACAUAACUGCCUAUCUUAUUCUAAAUUUUGUCUUUUUCAUUUACAGUUAGAGCACAUUCCAUGUGAAGUCACCAGAUUUUUUGAGCUGAUCACUCUGAAAGUGGAUGAUAAUUAUCUCACUAAUCUUCCAAAUAGUAUUGGUUAUCUAAGUAAAUUAAGGUGUUUCAGCGCCUCAAAUAAUCAACUCACCGUACUUCCAUCUAGUAUUGUCAAAUUGAAUUUGACAACGUUGAAUCUUUGUGAUAAUCAAUUUAUGAUCCCUGAACUGAACUUCGUUGAUCCAUCACGAUUACUAAAAGUUCCUACUCUAAAGAAUGCUGCCAGCAAGAUAGUCAUUAAGGCAUCAAUUCCACACUAUGAAGGACAUGCGCCACUCGAUGUAAUAUACCACCUCUGUUCUGCGUUCUACUGCAUUUGUCGCAAAGCAGUUUUUGACUCAAAAUGCACGUAUGUUCUCCUCUACAGCCUAAGGAAUAUUUCCAGUGAAUUCUUCUAUGAUAGUAGUAGUGAUCAUUUGAUCCCAACCAGGUUUGGCGUAUGCUCAUCUGCAUGCUACACCAAACUAACGAACAUAGCUGCAGCUUUGUGAUGGUGAUCAGCUGUCAUAAAACUGACGACUACAAUUUUGUUGAUUCUUUUGCCGUUAGGAUGCUUUUCUGAUUCUCUUGCAUUUAAGUCUGCCUGUCUCUUCAUCUCUUCAAUUUAAGUGGAUAACUGUGAUAUUAAUCAUCAAAACCUCUUUUAUAUCAAUGCCUAAAUGCUGGUGAGGAUCAUUGAGUUUUGGAUGUUUAGCCGUCCCUUUUUUUGAUGUCUUAAUGUGAUGUUGAUAACACAAAACUCAUAAGUUUUUUAAUCAUUAUAUUGAAAUGACAAGAUCUCUAAUGUGGGUUGGAGGUCAAAACAUGGCUUUUUAAAUAAUUUUGCAAUAUUGAUUGUGUCAUUAAAGAGAUUUUAAUCUCAUUUUCGUUUUAAAAAGAAGGCUAAAAUUUUACGGUUUGUCAAUUUGGAAGGAUCAUUAGCUUUUUUAGAAAAAGAAUUCUCCCCUCCCCUAAAUAAAUUUCCAUAUGUGAGCUGGAGAUAAAGUCUUCUCGUGAAUAAGCUUCCGAAACUUUAAUUAGAUUUUUUUUUUUUUUUUUUUUUUUUUUUUUUUGUCAUCAAAUGUGCCCAUUUUCUUUAUUCUCUUGAAAAAAAUCUUUUUAUGGACCUGGAAAUGUGAUUAAUUUUUUCUAUAGCUCUUUUAUUACAAUUUUGCAUUUGCAGAAAUAUGCCUCUACGCGAUCAAUUUUAUUGAAACUCCCAUGUGAUUUUUCUCAUUUUUAAACAAUGUCUAAGGUAUCAAAUAAAAUUUCUGUUGUAUGUUUUUACUUAAAAUGUUCUUAUUUUAUGAACCAGUAGUUAUUGACUUAAAAUUUUUACGCCACUAGGCGCUGCUGCCAAAUAGUUUCAGAUCUAGUCCAAAAUCUUUCGUUUUUGAAAAACUAACAAAAAACUACAGGAAGCUUCUCAUUUCUCAGCAAACAUAAACGUACAGGUAUAAACGAGAAAAAACAUUUAGAAAUGGCCCGAACUGUACGCAACAAGGUGGAGAAAUUGUGCUGGCCUCAGUCU